RNAcentral lists this ribosomal RNA (250 nucleotides) under uncultured bacterium. RNAcentral's name for it is "partial 16S ribosomal RNA". It matches the Rfam family "Bacterial small subunit ribosomal RNA", at positions 811 to 1058 of the family's 1533-position model. The record is from RNAcentral.
GGGCACUAGACGCGGGGGGGAUCGACCCUCUCCGUGUCGAAGCUAACGCGAUAAGUGCCCCGCCUGGGGAGUACGGCCGCAAGGCUGAAACUCAAAGGAAUUGACGGGGGCCCGCACAAGCGGUGGAGCAUGUGGUUUAAUUCGAAGCAACGCGAAGAACCUUACCUGGGCUUGACAUCUUAGAGAAAUCCUCGUGAAAGCGGGGACCUCCUUCGGGACUCUAGGACAGGUGCUGCAUGGCUGUCGUCAG